Long non-coding RNA from Suricata suricatta (meerkat), 555 nucleotides. RefSeq lists it as uncharacterized. The transcript is spliced from 3 exons. Lineage: Eukaryota; Metazoa; Chordata; Mammalia; Carnivora; Herpestidae. The record is from RefSeq and is a predicted model, not a curated record.
GCCUGGCCCUGGAGUCCUCUCUCGAGUCCGGAGGCUGGAAGAACCCACGCAGUGGGCAGUGGAUCAGGCUUGGGGCCCUAGAAGUCACUCUCCACCGUCUCCUGCGGCCUCCAGAACCCCCUGGCUCUGCCAGGAAAAGCGACAAGGCCUUUGAACCGCGCAGGCUCUGGGCUCCUUGCUGAGCAAGGGCUGAAGAGGCAAACCACUUGGCCGGCCGUGCCAGCUGGGAGCCGGGGCCCAGCAAGAGCGCAGAGUUAUGGGGCAGUGCUAAGUGCUCUGUUUGUACGAAACUGCCAAAAUGUUAGUACAAAGUGGGCGAAGGUCUUCUGGAAGGCAAGAGGAGGAUGUACCUGAACUGUGGCGUCUGGCAGGGUUCCUCUUUUGCUUGAGCUGUGUCCCUCUGAGCAUGUCCCUUCUCAGGUUCUCAAGGGUGUUAUAAGCCAACGCACAGCCUGAAGGUUUUAAGGUGCUGAUCGGUCUUCCCCUGACAGGGGACGUGUAUCUGUGUGCACACACAUGCAGAGACUUUGUUCAGCUUAUCCCUAGGGGUGGAGA